UACACUCCUACGGGAGGCAGCAGUGGGGAAUAUUGCACAAUGGGAGCAAGCCUGAUGCAGCCAUGCCGCGUGUAUGAAGAAGGCCUUCGGGUUGUAAAGUACUUUCAGCGGGGAGGAAGGCGAUAAGGUUAAUAACCUUGUUGAUUGACGUUACCCGCAGAAGAAGCACCGGCUAACUCCGUGCCAGCAGCCGCGGUAAUACGGAGGGUGCAAGCGUUAAUCGGAAUUACUGGGCGUAAAGCGCACGCAGGCGGUCUGUCAAGUCGGAUGUGAAAUCCCCGGGCUCAACCUGGGAACUGCAUUCGAAACUGGCAGGCUAGAGUCUUGUAGAGGGGGGUAGAAUUCCAGGUGUAGCGGUGAAAUGCGUAGAGAUCUGGAGGAAUACCGGUGGCGAAGGCGGCCCCCUGGACAAAGACUGACGCUCAGGUGCGAAAGCGUGGGGAGCAAACAGGAUUAGAAACCCCUGUAGUCCC
Molecule: ribosomal RNA, 473 nt
Filed under: uncultured organism
Description: partial 16S ribosomal RNA
Rfam family: Bacterial small subunit ribosomal RNA
Source: RNAcentral